This 1641-nucleotide long non-coding RNA is filed under the name Drosophila guanche. The record is from RNAcentral. Lineage: Eukaryota; Metazoa; Arthropoda; Insecta; Diptera; Drosophilidae.
GGGGCAAGGCCGGCUAGCCAGUCAUCCCAGGGCUGAGUUCUUCCCAGGCCCCCAGGUCGCACAACAAACCAACUGUUCGGACAUCUCGAACAAAUAUCAAAAACAAACGAUAAUUCAAAACAAUGCAUCGGACUUUACUCUACAUCUAACGGACAAACAUCUCUCCAACACAGACGUGGACAAGUCUGAGGUGCCGAUGGUCUAGCUCCUACGUACUCUACCUGAGAUGCGACUCAGAAUACCUCAGAUCUCCUUCCCAAGUGUGGCGGACUUUCUCCAUCUCGCCGUUGUGGUCCCCUUUCCCCCCCAUACUAAACACACUAGCACUUCAUUUUAAACGUUAUAAUAUUUAAACCAAAAACUUAACACAUACUUAACUAAAAAUCCCUAUACUAAUGUCUCGUGGCGCGUCCGCCUAUUCCCGACUCUUCAACUUAAAUUAAUGGGUGGGAAUAAUCACAAAAAUAAUAAAUAUAAAUAAUAAAAUAAAUAUAAAUACAAAUACUACAUUUAUAUUACAUUAAUAUGGUCGGUAAAUAUAUGUGGGGUGGCUAAUUAAUUAAAUAUUAAUUAAUAUAGAUAGAUAUUAUUUUGGUGUGUCUUUAUAUAUGCAUGUAGAUAGGUAUGCGUUUAUGUAGGCAUGGAUUAAUUAUUUAAUUGUCGGUGGCGCUGUGGCGAGUCGCGCCCGGGCAGGGGUGUGACCAGGAUUCCGCGGGCCGGGGAAUCGUAAUUUUGGCCCAUCUACGGGAAGACAGCCGAUACAAUUUACGCCUUUUUAUUUCGAUUCGGGUAAAAGGGUCCUCUACGUUGGCCGGUCUGUUUGUUUUCCUAAACGGUCACACACACAAAACGCCCUAACACUGCCGAUGUUUAUUUUCCCACUCCGGCAUGUUCAGCGUAGCUACUCUACGCAGUCCCCCUUGCUGCAGCUGAUCUCAUCUCUUCUAUUGCCCUUGAACCAAAUUCAAGGGCAUAGCAUGGCAUUCUUGAGGGUGUGGGUGAGCUGGCUAGUGGAUCCCGCAAUAUUCCCCUCUCUUACAUUCUCCCGCUCUCUCACCGGCACCGUUGAUCGCCUUGCCCCUUCGCCUAUCGACCUAUCAACCUCCAAAAAAAUACUACCAAAUCUAGUAUUUUGCAUAUCGCUCUCCUUCGAAUGCAACACGACGGAAGAAUUAUUCGCAAACACUCGAAGGACAUUGAAACCUAACGCUUGCCCUAAGGUCUUGCAGCGCCCAACGUAGGCUCACACCCACUCGGUUUGUACAUGAGUGCCCUAUUCUUCUUCCCUUCUCCUUCUAAAGCUUUCCCACUACAAUUUCAGGUCUUUGGCGUGAAAAAUUCCCACCGGUUUCCCCGCCAGGUCUUCAAGUUCGUAGGCAUUAUUUCCAACCGGACGUACGACUCGGCACUUCAGGAACUUCCGGGCGAAUUUGGCGUUGUAGCUCUUCCCAAAGUCGCUGAGGGUGAAGUUGCGCCUGUAUACUUCUUGCCCAGGUUUGGCGAAAAAUAUUCGGGCCCGUUUGUUGUAGCGCUGGCUGCUGCGCUCGUACUCUUGGAGAAGGUUGGCCUUGAUACGUUCCCGGAUGAUGUGGCACUUAUCCGCGGGGUUCAAUGCGUGCACCUCAUGCUCCGUCAGCGACU